Molecule: long non-coding RNA, 3073 nt
Organism: Homo sapiens (human)
Lineage: Eukaryota; Metazoa; Chordata; Mammalia; Primates; Hominidae
Exons: 9
Source: RefSeq, a predicted model, not a curated record
ACAGCACAUCAACUUCAUCCCAGGUCCAUGUUCUGCUGUACUUAGUACCCUAGUAGAGGGUAACCGAAUGGCAACAAAUUAAAUGGUAAAUUAGGCAGAUAAAAAGGGCAGAGGGGUUGGAGUCAGGACUGCCUAAACACUUAACCCAUAUGCUGUUAAGCUUUUUUUCACAUAAACAACAUUAAGCACCGUAAGCAUGGUGGCAAGCCCUUUAGAUAACCUAUGGAAUAGUUCACAUCCUUCCUUUCCCCAUAAAAACUGGCACAGUUGUGAGAAGUACUCCAGGGCCCCAAAAAGAGUGACCCUGCUAGGGCAGUGGAGGCUAUUUCCCUCCAGGGCUGGAUCCUGGAUGGAGUGGGGCUUAUGCAGAUCACCCUGCAGAGGAAAGGAGGAGGAGGAGAGAGAGACAGAGAUGAGGGCCUAAAUGUAGAUAUUGUACCUUUUACAGUUGCAGGUUCAGACUGCAGAGUCCCGGACAGAUCCCCACUAAAGGGCUGGGUAAACGGCCUGAAACCUCCUCUCAAUUUCAGAUGCCCUCCUGCCAAUCAGCUGACUCCAAGUGGAGCAAAGCCCAGGUCUUGACAUAGAUACAGAUACCAUACAUGCCCAGAUGAUGUCACAAGCAGCUAUAUGUAAACAGAGCAGAGGUCAGGUGACAUCACAGAACAGGCAGAGGCAGUUCAGGGGGUAUUCUGGUUGCCUUACCCAGCUCUGAAGUCUGUCAGCCUCUUCAGAUGUCACUUGCCCUGUGGUAAGGAAGUGUAGUCAGCACCUGGUGCAGUGGCAAGAAGAGAAAGGAAGUUCCCCAAGACAGAAACAUCUCAGCAGUGAGUUCCUGAUGAGGGAAGGGAAGUGAAUCCUAAGAACAAUCAUGUGAGUUUGGAAGGAGACCCUUCCCCAGCUGAGCCUCAGCCUGAGCCAUCACCUACAUCUAGACCGAAGACCCAGAGAAACCGUGAGUAAUAUGUGUGUGGUUCUGAGCCACUAAGGUACGUACUAAUUUGUUAUGCACCAAGUAGUAAGUAAUAUACUUGACAGUAAUUGUAAGGUGGUAUUCUGGAUUAGGUCCUGGAAUAGAUAAGUAUAUGAUUAUUAAAAAACCUGGUAAAAUAUGAAGGAAGUUUGUAGAUCAGUUAAUAAUCUCGAAAAACAGUUAAAUUCUUAGUUUUCAUGAAUAUGCUAUGGUUAUAAUAUAUAUUAACAUUCUAGUUAGCUGAAUGGUAUAUGAAACUGUCUGUACUUACCUAUGUGCAUUUAUGUAAAUCUGCAGUUAUUUCAAAAUAAAUAUGUUUUUUAAUAUUAUUAUUAUUUUUUUAAGAAAAGUAAGCAAGUAAAGACAUCAGCAAAAAACUUUUGCCUCCAGAUACAAGUGGGCAUGUAGGGAGAGAAUAGUAAACUGGCUUUUCUUUUCUAGGCAACAUUCGAAACCCAGGUGCCACUCCUUCAGGAAGGUACCAUCAAGCUCCAAGGACUCUUAUCCUCUUUCUCCUUCCCCACUACCUAGUCAUUAGAGCGUCAGCAUCCACUUCUUGAAAGGAAGAUGCCUGUUUUUCACAUAUCCCAGAAAACCCCAUUUUAGGACAGCAUUUAGCAGAGUAUAUUCAGGAUCCCACUAACCUUUUUGGAAGACAUGACUUCCAGAUGAUAUAAGGCAAGAAUAAGAAAUUUCAGUGACAGGGAACAGAAAUCAUAUUUCUGCAUUCAGGAUCAUGUUUUCUUGGCUCCAUCAGGAACUGUGCAGGACUGUGCACUCUGUUGAUACUCACAUGGUGGAAUUAUAUUGCCUUUGGCCAACCCUAAAGCCAUCAAGAUAGCAGGUCUGGUCUACCGAGAAGAGAGAUCAAAGAGCUCUUCAGCUGUUCCCAGCUCCCCACACAAAUCUACCUAACAAAGUCCCGAUAAACAGUCUGUUUUCUGGAGUCUAUCAAUACUGAUGAGGUCUUGUUCUUUUGGCCAGGCUGGAGUGCAGUGGUACAGUCGUGACUCACUGCAGCUUCAAACACCUGGGUUCCAGCAUUCAUCCCACUUCAGCCUCCCGUGUAGCCGGGACUACAGGUAUGAAAUAAUUUCCUAUUGAAGUCAUCUUAACAUGGAACCAGAAUUAAAUCCUAACAACAAUCAUGUGAGCCUGGGGAGGAUCCUUCCCCACGUGAGCCUUCAGGGGAGACUUCAGCCUUGGCCAUCUUCUCCAUCUAGAUUCCUGACCAAGAGAAACUGACCAUAUAUUCUGUUGCUCUUCACAUCUUGGAAUUAUAUUGUCCAUUUCCAGGGUCAAAGACCACAGAAUAAAUGUCAUCCUGGCAGCAGAAACAGGUUCUAAGUAUGUUGCCCAAGCUGGUCCUGAACUCCUAGCCUCAAGUAAUCCUCCUGCCUCAACCUACCAAAGCAUUGGGAUUACAAGUUUGACCCACCAUGAUCAGUCCAGGGUAGGAAAUGGAAUCUUAACAACUGUCACGUGAGCUUUGAGGGAAUCCUUCUCCAGAUGAGCCUUCAGUUGAGACCUCAGCCUUGGACAUCAUCUACAUCUGGAUUCCUGACCCAGAGCAACUGCAUGCGUAUAUUAUACCAGCUUCCGGGGAGGCUGACUUGGGAGGAUUGCUUGAGCCCAGGAGUUCCAAACUGAAGUGAGCCAUGAUUGUGUCACUGCACUCCAGCUUGGGAAACAGAGGGAGAUCAAGACUCAAAAAAAAAUUGGCCUCAGAAGAUGAAUGGACAUGGAGAAAAAAAAUAGCCAAGCAGAUUUCCGCAUACAUUUACCCUUCCAUACAUACAUCCAUCUACUUCAGGAAGCCACUAUCAAACUCAAGGAACUCUUGUCCAUAUUUGACCUCCCCAUCACACUCUUUAUUACCAAGUAACUCGUUUGAGUGUCAGUAACCUCUCUGUUUUCAGAGAUAUUUGCCUAUGCCUCACAAAUCCCAGAAAGGCCCAUUUUCAGAUAUCAUUUAGGAACAUAUCUACAUGAUCCCACUGAACAUAUUUUGGCAGACAAAGUUUCUGGAUGCCAAAGACCAAGAUUGAGGAAUGUUAGUGAGAAGAAAUAUAAAUUAUAUUUUCAUAUUUUUUUUUAUUA